CCUACGGGAGGCAGCAGUAAGGAAUAUUGGUCAAUGGACGAAAGUCUGAACCAGCCAUGCCGCGUGAAGGAUGAAGGUCCUCUGGAUUGUAAACUUCUUUUAUAGGGGACGAAAAAAGGGAAUUCUUUCUCACUUGACGGUACCCUAGGAAUAAGCACCGGCUAACUCCGUGCCAGCAGCCGCGGUAAUACGGAGGGUGCAAGCGUUAUCCGGAUUCACUGGGUUUAAAGGGAGCGUAGGUGGGCAGGUAAGUCAGUGGUGAAAUCUCCGGGCUUAACCCGGAAACUGCCAUUGAUACUAUCUGUCUUGAAUUAUCUGGAGGUAAGCGGAAUAUGUCAUGUAGCGGUGAAAUGCUUAGAUAUGACAUAGAACACCCAUUGCGAAGGCAGCUUACUACGGAUAUAUUGACACUGAGGCUCGAAAGCGUGGGGAUCAAACAGGAUUAGAUACCCUGGUAGUCCACGCCCUAAACGAUGGAUACUCGACAUCAGCGAUACACUGUUGGUGUCUGAGCGAAAGCAUUAAGUAUCCACCUGGAGUACGACCGCAAGUUGAACUCAAAUGAAUUGACGG
RNAcentral lists this ribosomal RNA (573 nucleotides) under uncultured bacterium. Its description in RNAcentral is "bacterial SSU rRNA". It matches the Rfam family "Bacterial small subunit ribosomal RNA", at positions 338 to 916 of the family's 1533-position model. The record is from RNAcentral.